Molecule: long non-coding RNA, 398 nt
Filed under: Aquila chrysaetos chrysaetos
Lineage: Eukaryota; Metazoa; Chordata; Aves; Accipitriformes; Accipitridae
Description: lncRNA (ENSACCG00020015009.1)
Source: RNAcentral
GAAAUGAACAGGUCAGAGGCACUCUUGUGUCAGUUUGAUGUGAUUUUUUGGACCCUGAACAGCCCGAUACAAAUUUUGGUGUAGCUGAUGAGCCUCCCCACUGGGAAAGCUUAGCAUUUCUGCAGACCGUGGUUGACACGCACAUAAAACAAUCUGCUGGUAACUCUGAAGCGCUGCCUCUCCACUUGAGCAUCCGGGGAGUGAUCUUUCGCUCCCCGAGUUUGGCGGCUGGCUCAGCGACAGUGCCAACAGUGCUGCUUGCAUCAAGAGGAGGCUCAAAAGUAUGCCGGUGCUUGGACAAAUUGUGCAGGUUUGGCAGCCACUACCCCAGUGAUACCUCGCAAUCCAGGGAGGAUGCAUCAGAAUUGAAUGAAUGAGGGCAUGAAUAGAGCAGGGGU